GCUGGGCGUGGUGGUGUACGCCUGUAAUCCCAGCAGCUCAGGAGGCCAAGGCAGGAGAAUUGAGAGUUCAAAGUCAGCCUCAGAAACAUCGAGGUGCUAAGCAAUUCAGUGAGACCCUGUCUGUA
Molecule: small RNA, 125 nt
Filed under: Marmota monax (woodchuck)
Lineage: Eukaryota; Metazoa; Chordata; Mammalia; Rodentia; Sciuridae
Source: RNAcentral